GAAAUCCAAGGUGAGUGAGAGUUGUGUAUGUCCUACAUGGGCAUGGUUAUUAGAAACCUCUGCAGGAGAAGUACUCGGCGAAGAAAAUCAGUGUUCAGAAUGUGGUAGGUUGUGGUGGAGAACGCAAAGCCCAGCAAUGGUUUGGAUGAUAUAGAAGUGAGCGUACCAUCUUUUUCUAAUUGUUAUUGUUAUUGUCUAUUAUCCAUGGCUUUGUAAUGGAGGGUUAGCUCUUUAGUACAACCCCGUGGAAAAUGUUGAAUGAGGUUUGAGUUGAUCGUGAAAUGUUACGUUUUGAAACUGCGUGAGGAAUUUAGCAAGACACUUGUAAAAGAGUCUCGAGGUAAAAGGGAAUAAUUUUUUUCGAUGAAUAAAGGGAAAUAAUU
This 383-nucleotide long non-coding RNA is filed under the name Linum usitatissimum (flax). Its description in RNAcentral is "long non-coding RNA (LUSI_LNC007109)". Lineage: Eukaryota; Viridiplantae; Streptophyta; Magnoliopsida; Malpighiales; Linaceae. The record is from RNAcentral.